UGUAGUGGAAGAGAAAGAGAUGCUCUAGAGAGGAAGGGGAGCUGUAGUUAGCUGUGCCUGGGAAGGUGUCAGGGGAGAAAGGAUGGACAAGUCAACAGCAAGGACUGCUGGGAGUCAGCGAACACAUUUUCACUUGGAAAUGGGUUUGCUGUUGUGAGGCCCCCAGGCCAUCAUGCUGAAGAAUCUGCAGCCAUGGGGUUCUGCUUUUUUAAUUCAGUUGCAAUUACCGCCAAAUACUUGAGAGACCAACUAAAUAUAAGCAAGAUAUUGAUUGUAG
Molecule: long non-coding RNA, 277 nt
Organism: Peromyscus eremicus (cactus mouse)
Lineage: Eukaryota; Metazoa; Chordata; Mammalia; Rodentia; Cricetidae
Exons: 3
Source: RefSeq, a predicted model, not a curated record